RNAcentral lists this ribosomal RNA (253 nucleotides) under uncultured bacterium. Its description in RNAcentral is "partial 16S ribosomal RNA". It matches the Rfam family "Bacterial small subunit ribosomal RNA", at positions 524 to 776 of the family's 1533-position model. The record is from RNAcentral.
UACGGAGGGGGCUAGCGUUAUUCGGAAUUAUUGGGCGUAAAGGGCGCGUAGGCGGCCCGGUAAGUCAGAGGUGAAAUCCCUCGGCUAAACUGAGGAACUGCCUUUGAAACUGUCGGGCUUGAGGCCGGGAGGGGGUAGCGGAAUUCCCAGUGUAGCGGUGAAAUGCGUAGAUAUUGGGAGGAACCCCGGUGGCGAAGGCGGCUACCUGGACCGGUUCUGAGGCUGAUGAGCGAAAGCGUGGGGAGAAACCAGG